GACGAACGCUGGCGGCGUGCUUAACACAUGCAAGUCGAACGGAAAGGCCCUGCUUUUGUGGGGUGCUCGAGUGGCGAACGGGUGAGUAACACGUGAGUAACCUGCCCUUGACUUUGGGAUAACUUCAGGAAACUGGGGCUAAUACCGUAUAGGAGCUCCUGCUGCAUGGUGGGGGUUGGAAAGUUUCGGCGGUUGGGGAUGGACUCGCGGCUUAUCAGCUUGUUGGUGGGGUAGUGGCUUACCAAGGCUUUGACGGGUAGCCGGCCUGAGAGGGUGACCGGCCACAUUGGGACUGAGAGACGGCGCAGACUCCUACGGGAGGCAGCAGUGGGGAGUAUUGCACAAUGGGAGGAAGCCUGAUGCAGCAACGCCGCGUGCGGGAUGACGGCCUGCGGGUUGUAAACCGCUUUCGCCUGUGACGAAGCGUGAGUGACGGUAAUGGGUAAAGAAGCACCGGCUAACUACGUG
Molecule: ribosomal RNA, 468 nt
Filed under: uncultured bacterium
Lineage: Bacteria
Description: partial 16S ribosomal RNA
Rfam family: Bacterial small subunit ribosomal RNA
Source: RNAcentral